AUGUUUUGUACGCGUGUAUUGAUGAGUACUCCUCUUGACUCGAUUGUGUUGCAGGGAGUGAAAGGAAAGCAUCCAGUUGGGGUGGUCUGCAGUUCUGAUCACCUCGAGCAGCACCACAUAAUCAAAGUUCCAAACAAUAGUGCUGCACUUCUGCCUCCAGCAAGCAUUUCGAUCACUUUGAUGUUUAUAGCUACACGCACCAACUCGAUGUACGGCGACUCCAUGGAGCAAGUCGAGUUCGUGGAGCAAGUCAUGGACGAUGCCAUGGAAGAUUCAAAAGAUAUAUGGAUGAUUAUAAUGGUGCGUGGCAAGUAUAUUGCAAUGAUGAUGAUGUUCCGUUUCAUGAUGAUAAUGAUGUUCCGGUCCAUGAUGAUGAUGAUGGAUGCUAUCAGUUUUAGUUAA
Molecule: ribosomal RNA, 402 nt
Filed under: Triticum aestivum (bread wheat)
Lineage: Eukaryota; Viridiplantae; Streptophyta; Magnoliopsida; Poales; Poaceae
Description: partial small subunit ribosomal RNA
Source: RNAcentral